Molecule: ribosomal RNA, 1065 nt
Filed under: Triticum aestivum (bread wheat)
Lineage: Eukaryota; Viridiplantae; Streptophyta; Magnoliopsida; Poales; Poaceae
Description: partial small subunit ribosomal RNA
Source: RNAcentral
AUGGCCGCCGCCGGAGACCUCAGGUCGGNNNNNNNNNNNNNNNNNNNNNNNNNNNNNNNNNNNNNNNNNNUGCCUCUGUCCGUGGAGCAAGGGACUCCGGUGACGAAGCCGCUGUUCCAGGGCGACUGGCCUCUGGGGCCCAGAGAGGCCAUGGAGUCGUGCCCGAGGAAGGAGGUGGAGGACUUCCACGAGAAGCUGGUCGAGGAGAAUUUCUUCCUGAUUACCGAGUCAGGUGAGCAGGGGCGUGUACCUGUACUUCUGCUGAAACUCAACGACAGUACUGCUCCCGAAAGGAAGCCGGUUGUUGUGAUACUGCACAGCUCUUACAAAUGCAAGGAAUGGGUGCGUCCACUGCUAGAGGCAUAUGCCUCCAGGGGUUAUAUUGCUGUUUCCAUCGAUUCUCGCUAUCAUGGUGAAAGCGCCAGCCACAAGAAUACUUACACCGAUGCACUGAAAGCAGCUUGGAGGAAUGGGGACACGAUGCCUUUUAUUUUUGACACGGCAUGGGACUUGAUAAAGCUUGCAGAUCAUCUUAGUGCAAGGAAGGAUGUCGAUCCCUCAAGGAUUGGGAUUACUGGUGAAUCACUCGGAGGAAUGCAUUCAUGGUUUGGUGCUUUCGUGGAUACACGGUACAGUGUUGUUGUUCCGAUAGUUGGUUUUCAGGGAUUUCGGUGGGCAAUAGACAAUAACAUGUGGGAAGCCAGAGUUAACAGCAUCAGGCCUGUAUUUGAAGAGGCAGCAACUGAUUUAGGGAAGAGUGAAAUAGAUUCGGAGGUUGUGGAGAAGGUUUGGGACAGGAUAGCACCUGGGCUUGCUUCACGGUUUGAUGCACCUUACUCGGUUCCCCUGAUUGCACCACGUCCGCUCCUCCUCCUAAAUGGCGCUGAAGACCCUUGUUGCCCUAUCGCUGGUCUACAAGAGCCUGCUUCCAGAGUUGCUGAAGCUUAUGAAAAAGCUGGUUCUGCGGAGAAGUUCAAGUUCAUCGUGGAGCCGGGAGUUGAACAUAUGUUAACGGCGAACAUGGUGAAGGAAGCGAGCGAAUGGUUCGACCGAUUCCUGCAGUAG